UCAAACGGAAACUGCCCAAGUAACCCAUCCUUUCCAUCUCCUAUAAAUACCGUACCAUCUCCUCCACAGCUCACCAUCCAAAUCAACAGUAAUGUUCUACAGUUAGUGAGAUGUAGAGAGAGAUAUGGCUAGCUAAUCCAUGAGAGAGGUCUAGAUAGAGAGAGGGAGAGAUGAUCAGUUCUUCAGAAGAGGCUACUACUAGCUAUCUAGCUUCAUGUUUAACUCUUCUUGGUUUGUGUUUUUGUGUGCUUGUUGGAGUUGUUAGGAGGAAGAGAGGGGUGAGAGGUGAGGCUGACAGAAGAGAGUGAGCACACAUGGUGACUUUCUUGCAUGCUGAAUGGACUCAUGCUUGAAGCUAUGUGUGCUCACUUCUCUCUCUGUCAGCCAUUUGAUCUCUCUUUCUCUCUUUCUCCCUCAUGUGUUAUACUGUUCUCUCAUAUCUAUCUUCUUUGAGGUAGUAAUAUACUUGAGCAAAUUAAGCUGCUUAAUUAUUUGUGUAUGAUGAUCAGCUGCUGAUCCGGCCUCAUUUCUUGCAUAUAUGACCACAACCACAUACAUGCUUGUUCAUUUUUUUUCACAAAGAAAGAGAACAGUUUAAUUUAAUUUCUUGGGGUUUUUGGAUCAGUUAAUUUGUCUUGAGAGGGGAAGAGAUCUCUAUGGGUUUUGGAGGUCUGACAGAAGAGAGUGAGCACACACGGUGCUUUCUUAGCAUGCAAGAGCCAUGCUGGGAGCUGUGCGUGCUCACUCUCUAUCUGUCAGCCGUUCACCAUGCCCAAUAUGAUUAAUCUCCUUCUCUCAGUUGACAGUAAUUUCUUUGCCAGAUCUCCUGUUAAAUUUUCUGCCUAGCUAGCUAUUAUGCACAUGCUUAUUAUGAUGAGCCUGCCAAUAUCAUCUCCACGGCAAAACACAAACUAGCUAUGAUUUGAUUCAUUAUAUUUCUUUUCGCUGUUUAAUUAAUUAUAUGCAGGCAUACACUAGCUAGUUUCCAGCUAGUACAAAGACGAGACGAGGUCGUUCUGACGAUUUUCAUAGUCGUCAGAAGAAGGUGUGCAUUGGUUUAAUUUUUGUUCUUGGCUGUCAGACUAGAUCAUCUCUGAAUGAUCAAGAGCCGGAUCAAAUAAUUAUUGUGAGCACCGAAAUCGAUCAUGCGUACUCUCUCUGUGAAGUAUUUCUGAGAAAUAAUAUGAGUGUAGCUAGUAUAUAUACUCUUGAAGGGUGUCUAAUUAAUUGGGGUCUCUAGCUAGCUCCUUCUCUGAAUCUGUCCAUGAAUUGAAUCUACUAUGUAUGUGCUGGUGCUUACUGUUAUUUCAUGUACUACAUAUAAUUGAUAAAUCAAUUUAGGCUUUCAGUUUCUUUAAUUUGUGAGCACAAGUUUACAUUAUAUUGUAAUUGGAAUCUGUUGCAAGUACUAUAUACUGUUUUUUUAUGCAUAGCAGUUGAGAAAUAGAAUCCAAUAUACUUGUGCAAUUUAUUCUAUGCCACCUUAAUUAAUUACUUCUUCCUAGUAAUGAAGUGCUAGCUUCGAUCUUUCAAUAUUACCUGUCAAUCUUAAUUUAUACUUGUUUAAUUUGACUGUAAUUUGCCAGCUAGAAUUAAAUGUACAUUAAAUUGAAUUCUUCAGUGUUGUUCUUGUGAAGUUAAAAUAAUUUCUGAACAUUCACCCCUCUAUAAUCAUUUGUCUAUAUAGAAAAAGCAUGAAGCAAUUCUAAUCACAAAAAUACAUGGAGUUGUCUAGAUCAAACAAUUAAUUAAUCAAUCAUCAAUCAAACCAAAGACGUGUAAGGUCAUAUAAUACAAAUUUAACUUGACAAGUUAAUGAGUAGAAGAUGUAUGCAACGAUAUUUUCCCCGUAGCUUAUACUACUGUCGAUAUAUGCGUGUGACCAUAGUUCACAAGCCCUGUAUUUUAUGAUUUCAAAUGUUCGUUCAUACAUAUACACUACUACAAAAGCCCUUAUUGACACCGAUUGAGAACCGACCAUAAAUACCGAUCGAUUUUCCAGCCGGUGUCAAUUUAACGGUACUAAGGGCACCCACAAUGGUUAUCUAUAGGCUCUCUAUAAGAUAUCCAUGUCAGCAUAUUUUCCUACUUGAAAGAGAUUAAAUGAAGAGAGAGAGAGCAAAGCUAUCUACUAACCUGGAGAUAGUCUAUAGAGAAAAACGAGACAAUGUAUUAGAAAGCUAUAGAUACCCAUGUAGACAUACUAUUGAGAUGGUUUACUAUUAAUCUAGUCUAUUGCUGAGAUGUACAUGUUUUAUAGAUAGCACCUUACUUUACCAUUGCGGGUGCUCUAAUGCACAACCAUAUAGGUACCGAUUUUAGAAUCAACGCCUAUAGAGAUUAUCUGCUAUUUGUGACUAUGUGCUAUUUGCUAUUUUUGAAACAUGGAGCAAUUAAUCUGUUAUAAUAAUCGGAUCGGAUGAACAAGUUGAAACAAAAAGGGUCCAAAUUAAGCCAUGCAGGUUUUUGCUAUAUAGUCGAGCUGUGUUGAUAGUUGUAAAAAAAAAACUGUGUUGAAAUCGUGAAAGUACCCAAGUUUGAUCUGAAAAAAAAUCGAAAAAGAAGCCCAAGUUGGGGCAAUGCAGGCACACGCACGGCGGAUGGAUGGUCCGGUCCACAUGUGUGAGAAGGGAAGCUCCACGUUCCUCCGGCCAAUUCAGGAAAAUAUUUCUUCUACUUAGCUUCAUCUGGGCUUCAUCCUUUUGGGGCAAUCUCUGUUUGAGCCAGCAUCUCAGCUAUGCAUGGGCCAGCAGCAGCUCAGCAUAAAAUUGGUCCCUGAAAAGUGUAAAAGUUACAAGUGGUUAACCGGUUACUUGUCCAGCAGAAAUGGUUUGGUUUGGUUUGCCAUCAUGUCGAAUGUACUUCUGGUUCUUAAAUAGUACUCUCUCCGUUUUUUUAAAUUAUAAGUCAUUUUGUUUUUUAAUUUUUUAUUUGAUAAAUUUAUAGAAAAUAUUAGCAAUAUUCACAACGUUAAAUUAGCUUCGUCAUUACAUGUAACUUUGAUAACAUUUUUGUUUUGUGUAGAAAAUGUUGCUUUGUUUGAUUAAGAAAAAAGUCAAAUCAACUUAUUAUGAUAUAAAAUAGAGAGAGUGUUCACCCUCUUAAGUACAACACUACGUACCAAAGUUAUAAUCAUGGAAUUGCGUGCUUUUUAUGGUUGCGAAUCACCUAACAUGUAUCAAACACUUUUUUCCCCUCCUCGCCAAAUGAUCUUUUUAAAAACUUUUUGGUAGACUUUUCUGGCCUCGGAUAAAAGCGUGUACCUUUUACUUGAAGAAAAAUAAUAGCUCAGCAUAUUUAAAACACUAUCUACCUUGGCCACGCCCUCCAUCAUUGUCAUUUCGAUCCCCCGUCAUUCAUGUAGAAUUCGGGUUGAAAAAACUACAAGCUCCAUUUUUUAUAUAUAUGUUUAUCAUAAUUUGCAUACGUCCCUUUCAUAGAUCAUCCUUUUGUCAUCCUAGCCGAAAGGGCGGCUGGGCUGACCUCCUUGGCAAGGAAAAUCAAUCGGAUGGAAAAGAACAUUGGAUUUGACCUAUUGAAAAUGAGAUCAGAAGAAGCACUCCUAAUGGUGUCAAUGUGAUGUUAGUACCCCUUUUCUGCCUAAUCUCCACCCCAGAUUCUCUCCCAGGUUGAGAAAAAGAAGAAAACCUAGAAAAAAAAAAGUGGCUUUCUGUGAUGGACGGUUUUGUUUGGCGUGUUUGGCUGUGGCCCUCUAUAUCACUGCUGCUCUAUCUAUCUAUCAUUCUAUCUCUGCACUGUGCCACUGUGCUACUGUGCUCCUGCUUUAGCCUUAGGGGCUAAUAAAACCUUGUCAAGUUGCAAUUUGUGUGGUGAUUAUGCUCUGAAAAUCUUAACAGUGCCUGGGGUGGCAGGGUCAUGACAAGGCACUUUUGCUGUGUAUCUUGGUGUGGGGUUUUCAUGUCCACUCGUAAUCAGAAAUAUUUCCACAUGUUUCUGCAUAAAAAGCAUGUGCUUCAUUAAUUCUUGAGAAAUGUCGAGCUAAACCAGGCUAAUAAUUUGUAACAA
Molecule: long non-coding RNA, 4026 nt
Organism: Oryza sativa Japonica Group (Japanese rice)
Lineage: Eukaryota; Viridiplantae; Streptophyta; Magnoliopsida; Poales; Poaceae
Source: RefSeq, a predicted model, not a curated record